Oreochromis niloticus (Nile tilapia) is the source of this 685-nucleotide long non-coding RNA. RefSeq lists it as uncharacterized. NCBI's taxonomy places the organism in Eukaryota, Metazoa, Chordata, Actinopteri, Cichliformes, Cichlidae. The transcript is spliced from 2 exons. The record is from RefSeq and is a predicted model, not a curated record.
AUAUAACGUCCCAGAACACUCCAGCUCUCAUGUUAGUCUGCUCCAAGCAUUUCCACAAAGGAAAACCAGCCUACAAAAUGCAGGAAUGCGAUGCAGACUGGGCACCUCUAUCAGCCUGGGUCAGACCGAGUUUAAAGCUGCUACCACAGCCAGAUUUGAUCGGUUAAGAGAGAGAACGAUAUCAAAAGAGCCACAAAACGUCCCGCAUAUAUGUGCCCAAGGGUUGUAUUGAAGCAAUCAAGUGAUGAAUAACUGUUUUCCAGUAUGUUGUUUUGAUAUGGUUUUUUUUUUUUUUUCGUUGCAUUGUUGAUUUGUUUUUUACCGAAGCAGCUAAUAAAGAAUGGUGGAUUUUUACAAUUUUGCCUCCUUCUUGUAAGAUUCUAUAAUAGAAUGAAACAAUAAUGCCAGUUAUAAAUAAAGACAACAAAUUGAAUGAAUUACGAAACACUCAUGUUAUUUCUAUUAGAUCUGAAAAUGUUGUGUAAUACCACAACCUGAAACGACAAAUAGAUGCGGACAGGAGAUAAAGGAAAAGAAUGUAACAACAGCUGUGAAAUGGAAUAGUCCAAAUCACCAAAGUAAACUGGACCUGGGCUUGUUGCAGGGAUCUGAAGUUAAUAAACAUCUUGUGAGUGUCUGUACUCACACUUAGGACCAUAUAAUAAUAAAUAUGUGCGUGAUGAAA